GAUGAACGCUGGCGGCGUGCUUAACACAUGCAAGUCGAGCGAAGCACUUAAGUUCGAUUCUUCGGAUGAAGACUUUUGUGACUGAGCGGCGGACGGGUGAGUAACGCGUGGGUAACCUGCCUCAUACAGGGGGAUAACAGUUAGAAAUGGCUGCUAAUACCGCAUAAGACCACAGUACUGCAUGGUACAGUGGUAAAAACUCCGGUGGUAUGAGAUGGACCCGCGUCUGAUUAGGUAGUUGGUGAGGUAACGGCCCACCAAGCCGACGAUCAGUAGCCGACCUGAGAGGGUGACCGGCCACAUUGGGACUGAGACACGGCCCAGACUCCUACGGGAGGCAGCAGUGGGGAAUAUUGCACAAUGGGCGAAAGCCUGAUGCAGCGACGCCGCGUGAAGGAUGAAGUAUUUCGGUAUGUAAACUUCUAUCAGCAGGGAAGAAAAUGACGGUACCUGACUAAGAAGCCCCGGCUAACUACGUGCCAGCCGCCGCCGUAA
Molecule: ribosomal RNA, 495 nt
Filed under: uncultured bacterium
Lineage: Bacteria
Description: partial 16S ribosomal RNA
Rfam family: Bacterial small subunit ribosomal RNA
Source: RNAcentral